GAUGGUUUUUAUCAAAGCUGCAGCUGCCUCUACCUAGCUGCUUUGGUCAAAAUGGAGCUCAGAGUCAUAUACCCCGAGAAAAAU
RNAcentral lists this small nucleolar RNA (84 nucleotides) under Vicugna pacos (alpaca). Lineage: Eukaryota; Metazoa; Chordata; Mammalia; Artiodactyla; Camelidae. The record is from RNAcentral.